UUUUUAAGAUUUCUCGUUCACUUAAAAUUAGUUAUUUUUCUAUAAUUUUCAUCAUAAUUUUGAUUAUUUAAAAUUUAAAAUCAUAAUUUUGGCCUAAGGGCAGUUAAGCUUAAAUAUAUACCUCUAAAAGCAACUAAUACGCUCUAUGUAUAUACUAGACGACAACAAAAAAAAUUGAAAGAACAAAAAUUAUAUUUUAUAGUAUAUUUUUCGGUUUCAUUUUAGUGGGCCAUUAAAAAAAUAAGGGCAUACAUUCAAGAACGUAUUCAGUGGGAUCUGAGCACUGUCCACUCCAAGCUUUAACAAUUAAUAAAUUUAUCUGAUUGUCAUAUGGUUAAAAAACUCUUUGGUUAUAUAACACCAAAUUUGAUGAAAAAAUAAUAAUUAUACAUCAUAACAUAAAAAAUGUAGAUUUCAUAUACAUGAAAACGCCAAGUUUUCUUAUUCAAUCAAGUUGCACAUGUUUUGAAUUUAUUGAAAUAAAUUCAACAGAGUCUAAAGAAAGAUGUACUGGAAGUUGAGCAGCAAACAAAUGAAUAUUUCUUAUUGUUCUUCUAAUUUUCCUUUUAGUCCAUCCUCCUUCAAUACUGUUAUCAAAAAUAUCACUAUCUUCUUCUUCAAUAAAUGAUUCAUCUUCCAUGAUAUCCUCUUGAUGUCUAUGUAAUUUAUUAUAUUCUUGACAAAGCAAAAUAAAUAUUGAUUUAAUGAA
Molecule: long non-coding RNA, 709 nt
Organism: Daktulosphaira vitifoliae (grape phylloxera)
Lineage: Eukaryota; Metazoa; Arthropoda; Insecta; Hemiptera; Phylloxeridae
Exons: 2
Source: RefSeq, a predicted model, not a curated record